GGAGUCUGGUCCGUGUCUCAGUACCAGUGUGGGGGACCUUCCUCUCAGAACCCCUACUGAUCAAUGGACCGGUGGGCCGUUACCCCGCCGGCAUCCUAAUCAGACGCAUCCCCAUCCCUUAGCGAUGAAUCUUUGGUUUGAUUUUGAUGUCAGCAUCAAACAACAUAGGGAAUUAAUCCGACUUUCGCCGGGCUGUGCCCUACUAAGGGGAAGGUUGGAUACGCGUUACUCACCCGUGCGCCGGUCGCCAUCUAUCAAAGCAAGCUUCGAUAAUGAUGCCCCUCGACUUGCAUGUGUUAAGCCUGUAGCUAGCGUUCAUCCUGAGCCAUAAUCAAACUCU
This 340-nucleotide ribosomal RNA is filed under the name uncultured Prevotella sp. RNAcentral's name for it is "partial 16S ribosomal RNA". The record is from RNAcentral. Lineage: Bacteria; Pseudomonadati; Bacteroidota; Bacteroidia; Bacteroidales; Prevotellaceae.